This 1428-nucleotide long non-coding RNA is filed under the name Cairina moschata (Muscovy duck). RNAcentral describes it as "domestica (muscovy Duck (domestic type)) lncRNA (ENSCMMG00000003447.1)". The record is from RNAcentral. Lineage: Eukaryota; Metazoa; Chordata; Aves; Anseriformes; Anatidae.
AUGGGGAUCCUGCCAGAGCCAUCAGCUCAGGAGCUGGUGCCAAGUUCAGACCUUUCCCUAAGGAGCAGACACCACCACCACCCAGCGUGCUGCAUUGAUGACUCCUGCUCAAACUCCUGUUUCUCCUAUCCUCAUCCUUGCCCCAGGGAUAAAUUAUUCUUUGCAGAAACUUACAAGUGUCCCGUAACCACUCACCAUCUCUCAGCCCUGCCGGGUACACACUGCAGUCUGGCUUCUCCACGCACCUGUGGGCCAUAAGAGCUUCCUGAAGGAUUUUUGACAACCUGAACCAACAGAGGUAAGCUGGGCUCUGGGCCUGAGCAAGCCUCUUUAAGUAUGUGGGAAGUACAAAGCAGCCAACCUGUCCUCACAUCACUGAACACCAUCUUUUGAAAUAUGCAGGAGCUCUUCACAGGCAGAGCUACUGGAACAUCAACCACGGAUGAUCUCCUUGUCAGCUCCUUUAUCUUCUGCCUUGUAUUUCAGCUCUCAGAGUAUGUUCAGAGACUCCAGCCCAUUCAUUCAUGUUUUCUGUUCCUAUAUGCCAUAAAAUCUGAAUAGGAGCCCUUGUGAUAACACUGCAUGUCACAUGCUUCCCUAGGUCAUCAAUUUCUAUCAGCCACUGAGGUCAGCACUACCUUCCCCUGUGAAGCUGCCCAGUGAUGGCAGAACUCAGCCCGGGCUCCUUUGUCACCGGGGAGCAGAGGUGAUUAACAAACUGGGGAGCUGAAGGUGUUAGGGUCUUCUAAAAUCAGCUAAUAAGCAAUGCGGCUCAAGCUCAGCGACAGGAGAUGAGGAAUCAGAUAAGGCUUGUGAGCUGCAGCAGUGUCACCUGUUUUAGUGAGUGGCAAGAGAUAGCUGACAAAUGGUCUCAAUGUUUGCAAGAAGCUGUGAAAACAUCCUAAAAUUCAAUGCUGUUGUUAAAUGGUUGGCUUUUUGGAAACGCUGCCUUCCUGCUCCUGGAGCAAAUGAUGUCUUGCCUCCUGUAAGGAAGCGCAGAGCUACGUGCUGCCGGCAGAUGCCUUUGCAGUGCAUGGCUGCAGAGACCUGAGCUUUCGCCUUUCAGCCUGCGUGGCUGCCCGGGUUACUGGCAGAUGAUGCCCUGCCACUGCAGCUGGUUCACCCGCCGUGCUCCCUGCAGCUGCUGCACAGAGCAGAGUGGCUUGAAUCUCCUGGGCUUUGCGUUAGGAUCGACUUCUUCAGGAGCACCCUGCUGUGCUUACACCUCCUUUGGGCUGUCCAACACCGUCUGCUGUGCCGGCAGCUCUCAGCCCAGGCUCCUGGAUUGAUCCUUGUGCUUGCCUUGUCCUCAGAGAGCUGCUCUCUGCCCCAGCUCCCUCAUCUCUUGUGGUGUGGCCGUGCCAAAGCCCCUUCACACCCCCACAUCACCAGCCUGUGCCUCGUGUCCCCCGCACUGCUCACCCCAGU